RNAcentral lists this ribosomal RNA (406 nucleotides) under uncultured bacterium. RNAcentral describes it as "partial 16S ribosomal RNA". It matches the Rfam family "Bacterial small subunit ribosomal RNA", at positions 30 to 526 of the family's 1533-position model. The record is from RNAcentral.
AUUGAACGCUGGCGGCAAGCCUAACACAUGCAAGUCGAACGAGUGGCGGACGGGUGAGUAAUGUCUGGGAAACUGCCUGAUGGAGGGGGAUAACUACUGGAAACGGUAGCUAAUACCGCAUACCAUCGGAUGUGCCACGAUGGGAUUAGCUAGUAGGUGGGGUAAAGUCUCAACUAGGCGACGAUCACUAGCUGGUCUGAGAGGAUGACCAGCCACAUGUGAACUGAGACACGGUCCUGACUCCUACGGGGGGCAGCAGUGGGAAAUAUUGCACAAUGGGCGCCAGCCUGAUGCAGCCAUGCCGCGUUGAUUAAGAAGGCCUUCGGGUUGUAAAGUACUUUCAGCGGGGAGGCGUUACCCGCAGAAGAAGCACCGGCUAACUACGUGCCAGCCGCCGCGGUAAUAC